CGGCAGGCUUAACACAUGCAAGUCGAGGGGCAGCACGGGUAGCAAUACCUGGUGGCGACCGGCGCAAGGGUGCGUAACGCGUGAGCAACAUGCCCUAUACAGGGGGAUAAUCCAGGGAAACUUGGUCUAAUAUCCCAUAGUAUUUAGAGGAGGCAUCUUCUAUAAAUUAAAGCUUCGGUGGUAUAGGAUUGGCUCGCGCGACAUUAGCUAGAUGGUGAGGUAACGGCUCACCAUGGCAAUGAUGUCUAGGGGUUCUGAGAGGAAGGCCCCCCACACUGGGACUGAGACACGGCCCAGACUCCUACGGGAGGCAGCAGUGAGGAAUAUUGGACAAUGGAUGGAAAUCUGAUCCAGCCAUGCCGCGUGCAGGAAGACAGCCCUAUGGGUUGUAAACUGCUUUUAUAUGGGAGCAAUAAGGUCUACGUGUAGACUGAUGAGAGUACCAUAUGAAUAAGCAUCGGCUAACUCCGUG
Molecule: ribosomal RNA, 472 nt
Filed under: uncultured bacterium
Lineage: Bacteria
Description: bacterial SSU rRNA
Rfam family: Bacterial small subunit ribosomal RNA
Source: RNAcentral